GACGAACGCUGGCGGCGUGCUUAACACAUGGCAAGUCGAACGGAAAGGCCCUUCGGGGUACUCGAGUGGCGAACGGGUGAGUAACACGUGGGUAACCUGCCCUCAGCUUCGGGAUAACUCCGGGAAACCGGGGCUAAUACCGGAUAUUCGAUUGUCUGCCGCAUGGUGGGUGGUGGAAAGUUUUUUCGGGCUGGGGGAUGGGCCCGCGGCCUAUCAGCUUGUUGGUGGGGUGAUGGCCUACCAAGGCGUCGACGGGUAGCCGGCCUGAGAGGGUGAACGGCCACACUGGGACUGAGACACGGCCCAGACUCCUACGGGAGGCAGCAGUGGGGAAUUUUGGACAAUGGGCGGAAGCCUGAUCCAGCCAUGCCGCGUGAGUGAAGAAGGCCUUCGGGUUGUAAACUGCUUUUGUACGGAACGAAACGGCUCUCUCUAAUACAGGGGGCUAAUGACGGUACCGUAAGAAUAAGCACCGGCUAACUACGUG
Molecule: ribosomal RNA, 487 nt
Filed under: uncultured bacterium
Lineage: Bacteria
Description: bacterial SSU rRNA
Rfam family: Bacterial small subunit ribosomal RNA
Source: RNAcentral